RNAcentral lists this small nuclear RNA (152 nucleotides) under Helianthus annuus (common sunflower). Its description in RNAcentral is "U2 spliceosomal RNA". The stretch from base 26 to 152 matches the Rfam family "U2 spliceosomal RNA". From Rfam's summary of the family: U2 is a small nuclear RNA (snRNA) component of the spliceosome (involved in pre-mRNA splicing). Complementary binding between U2 snRNA (in an area lying towards the 5' end but 3' to hairpin I) and the branchpoint sequence (BPS) of the intron results the bulging out of an unpaired adenosine, on the BPS, which initiates a nucleophilic attack at the intronic 5' splice site, thus starting the first of two transesterification reactions that mediate splicing. Lineage: Eukaryota; Viridiplantae; Streptophyta; Magnoliopsida; Asterales; Asteraceae. The record is from RNAcentral.
ACAUCUUUUGUCAUUUAUAGAAACUAUACAUGUUUCCAUAAGAUCAAGUGUAGUAACUGUUCUUAUCAGUUUAAUAUCUGAUAUAGCUUGCUAUUGGGGCCUUUGAGUGUCGCCUUGGCGUUGCACUACUGCCUUGGCUUGGCGCACCCCUC